AUCCGGGUGUCAACAACGACAACUAAACAGGCUUCACAGGUGACCAAGGAAGAUAAGAGAAAGAGGGAGAGAGAGAGGAGAGAGAGAGAGAGGGAAAAGCAGAAGAGAGGAGACAGAGGUUCCUUCAGAAGGCGUUGCCCAGUCGUUAACAAAGCGAGAGAAUGAAAUCCUCCUCCUCCGUCAGUAGGUUCCUGUUGCUCCUGUGGCUGGUGUUCGAGGUCUCUGCUGCCCAGUCGUUCUCUGCGGUGCCCCCUUUUAUCCUCCGAAGGUAUUCGGCGAUGCCCUACAGCAAGGACGACCUGCGGAUGCCCCCGAGGACGGAGCCCCUCACUUCCUACUUGAGGAGGAGAGAGGUUUCCCCUUUGUCCUACCCGCUACCUGCUUCUGAGAGUCAGCUCGCAGCCUCAGACCCCAGUCAGCAGUUGCGGCUGCAGCAGGUACCUGAUGCCCAAAGCCAGAGAACUAUCACCACUCGUAGUACCCAGGAAGACGGCAUGGCCGCGUACGGCCAACUGGCUCGCAAGAUGAAGCCCUGCCGUGCGCUGCACUGCAGAGCCAACCUCGACAGCACAAUCAACACGCUCAUGACCAUGAUGGAGAUGGGGAGAAGGAAGUAAAGAGGGGCAGACCUCCCUUGCUCUUUUUUGGACGAGCAUAGCUCAGACGCUGCUGCUGCUGGGAAUUAAGAAGAUCAUUGGAUUGUUUUCGUUUUGGCGUUUUCAACUUAGACUCAAAUCAGAGGAAAUGAAUGAAGUGAUCAUUAGUAACCUUACCCAUUCUUGACCUUAUGAAUUCUAGGCUUAUAUUGGCUUGUGGAAUAACACGAUGCUCUGCAAAUGUCCAGGCUUCUUCAUUUGUCUACGGGUGAUUUUUACUCAGUGGUUUGAGUUUCUAAAAUGUCCUUUCUAAAUCUAUGUAGAAAGAUUCCUCUAGAAUUGUUAACCGUUACAAAAAGAUCAGUAAGAUUAAAAUUAAGGAAGUAAUAUUGUAGUCCAAAACACUUACUUAUCACUUAUCACUUUCAUUGUACUACAGCUGUUGAUGUAGAGAAACUGAAUAUACAUUUGUGAAAAUUUAUGAAUUUUCGUUAAAUUCUUAACGUUGCUUGUUGUAGUGAUUUGAAUAUGUUAAGUCUAUCUGUUAUAAAUGUCCACAUUUAAGUUUCAUUUAAAGAUAUGUAAGAAUGAUGUUUUCAUGAACUCUCAGUCUCACGAGAUAAGUUUUAGAACUUUGUCUGCUGUAAAUGUUUUUAUUUGUAUUUCUUUAUUUAUUAAUUUGCUUAUUUAGCUUUUUGGAAGAUCAUUUCUGUAGACUUUUAUUACAUGCUACACAAUGUUCAACCGAAACAUCGAACUUAAUAAAAAAUACUUGAAUGAA
Macrobrachium nipponense is the source of this 1377-nucleotide long non-coding RNA. RefSeq lists it as uncharacterized. NCBI's taxonomy places the organism in Eukaryota, Metazoa, Arthropoda, Malacostraca, Decapoda, Palaemonidae. The transcript has 4 exons. The record is from RefSeq and is a predicted model, not a curated record.